AUGGACAGAAAGGCAAAGAUGUUAAUUUAUGCGGCUGCGGCACAAUGGUUUAUCAACAUGAUAACAUUGGUUGUUCAAUCCAGAAAAAGAAAAAGGAGAGAAGCAAUUACGUAUGCCCCAAUUGAUGAGAGAGAUAGGAUGAGAAGAGAGUAUUUUGACAACAAAAUAUGGAAGAAUGACACAACUUGCGUGAACAUGCUUAGACUUCGGAGAGUACCUUUCUUUAGGUUUUGUUAA
Molecule: ribosomal RNA, 237 nt
Filed under: Triticum aestivum (bread wheat)
Lineage: Eukaryota; Viridiplantae; Streptophyta; Magnoliopsida; Poales; Poaceae
Description: partial small subunit ribosomal RNA
Source: RNAcentral